GGGGGGCGGGGGGGGGGGGGGUGGGGCGGGGAAGUCGAGCGGGGGGGGCGUGCUUGUGGGGGGUGCUGGAGUGGCGAACGGGUGCGUAACAGGUGAGUAGCGUGGCUUGGGCUUUGGGAUAGCUUGAGGACACUGGGGCUAAUACCUGAUAGGCGCUGCUGCUGCAUGGUGGGGUUGGGAAAGUUUCGGCGGGUGGGGCUGGACUCGCGGCUUAGCCGGGUGUUGGUGUAGUAGUGGCUUGCCAGGGCUUGUACGGGAAGCCGGCCUGGGAGGGUGACCGGCCACAUUGGGACUGAGGUACGGCCCAGACUCCUCCGGGAGGCAGCAGUGGGGAAUAGUGCACAAUGGGCGGAAGCCUGAUGCAGCAACGCCGCGUGCGGGAUGACGGCCUUCGGGUUGUAAACCGCUUUCGCCUGUGACGAAGCGUGAGUGACGGUAAUGGGUAAAGAAGCACCGGCUAACUACGUG
This 468-nucleotide ribosomal RNA is filed under the name uncultured bacterium. RNAcentral describes it as "partial 16S ribosomal RNA". It matches the Rfam family "Bacterial small subunit ribosomal RNA", at positions 26 to 507 of the family's 1533-position model. The record is from RNAcentral.